This 253-nucleotide ribosomal RNA is filed under the name uncultured bacterium. RNAcentral describes it as "partial 16S ribosomal RNA". It matches the Rfam family "Bacterial small subunit ribosomal RNA", at positions 524 to 776 of the family's 1533-position model. The record is from RNAcentral.
AACGUAGGUACCGAGCGUUAUCCGGAUUUACUGGGCGUAAAGCGCGUUCAGGCGGUUUGGCAAGUCGGGCAUGAAAUCUCUCGGCUCAACCGGGAGAGGUUGUCCGAUACUUCCAGACUUGAGGGCAGUAGAGGGUGGUGGAAUUCCGGGUGUAGUGGUGAGAUGCGUAGAUAUCCGGAGGAACACCAGUGGCGAAAGCGGCCACCUGGACUGCACCUGACGCUGACACGCGAAAGCUAGGGGAGCGAACGGG